Mastomys coucha (southern multimammate mouse) is the source of this 936-nucleotide long non-coding RNA. RefSeq lists it as uncharacterized. NCBI's taxonomy places the organism in Eukaryota, Metazoa, Chordata, Mammalia, Rodentia, Muridae. The transcript is spliced from 5 exons. The record is from RefSeq and is a predicted model, not a curated record.
CCAAGGUGUUGAAUGGGGAGAAGAACCAGGAAGUAAAAAGAACAGGCAUUUUGUUAGCAGACAUUUUGCAAGCUGGUUAAUGUUUCAUAUGUGUUUGAAGAGACUGGACAUUUACUGUUUAUUGUGAACAAAGUCCUUUACUCAAGCAAGCUGCUUUGUUGUGUUGCUCAAAUUCUGUCUACUCCAACAGUUCUUCUACCUGAUCUGCCAGUUUCUGAGAACAUUUCAGGAACUGAAGAAAUGUUUCAGCAUUUAAGAAUCAUUGCUGUUCUUCCAGAAGACCCAAGUUUGGUUCCUGGUACCCAUAUCUGGUAACUCACAACUUCUUGGAUCUCUAGCUCCAGGGAAUCUAAUGUUCUCUCCUGACCUAUGAUCUGUGAAUUCACCUUAACUUGCAUUUCAAGCAGAUGAAAAAGAAAGGAAGCUGGCAAUAUCUUCAUCAAUCACUCUGCUUAUUACUGCAAGAUCUGCUGUUCACUAAGUCCCAUAUUUCUUCUACUUUCUCAGUGGCCUGGAGCCUAUAUUUAUGAUUCAGAGGGUUUCUGCCUACCACAGCAGAGGAGAUGUAGCAGAAUGGCUUAGUCCAUGGAGCAGGUGGUAAUUUACCACAUGGCAGUGGACCAGGAAGCAGUCUGAAGCCUGAAGUAGAGCUCUAUUCAAGAGCCACUCCAAGUGGCCUAAUUCUACCAGAGAAGUCCAUCUCCUAAAUGGUGCCACGAGCUGAGAAACAAGCAUUCCAACAAAACCUUAGUGCUGGCAAAGUGGUUUAUAAGUCAAAUGCUUGCCACACAAGCCUGUUUAAUCCCCAGCAGCCAUGUCAAGUUAGAAGAGGAGAACGCACUCCACAGUUUUCCCCUGACCUCUGCACAGCACAGGUUAUGUGGCACAUACAUUCCCCUCUUUUUAAUAAUAAAUAAAUAAACAAUAAAAAUAUGA